CAGCAGCCGCGGUAAUACGAAGGGUGCAAGCGUUACUCGGAAUUACUGGGCGUAAAGCGUGCGUAGGUGGUGGUUUAAGUCCGUUGUGAAAGCCCUGGGCUCAACCUGGGAAUUGCAGUGGAUACUGGGUCACUAGAGUGUGGUAGAGGAUAGUGGAAUUUCCGAUGUAGCAGUGAAAUGCGUAGAGAUCGGAAGGAACAUCUGUGGCGAAGGCGACUAUCUGGGCCAACACUGACACUGAGGCACGAAAGCGUGGGGAGCAAACAGGAUUAGAUACCCCCGUAGUCCCUGUCUCUUAUAC
This 301-nucleotide ribosomal RNA is filed under the name uncultured bacterium. Its description in RNAcentral is "partial 16S ribosomal RNA". It matches the Rfam family "Bacterial small subunit ribosomal RNA", at positions 509 to 807 of the family's 1533-position model. The record is from RNAcentral.